This 251-nucleotide ribosomal RNA is filed under the name uncultured prokaryote. RNAcentral's name for it is "partial 16S ribosomal RNA". It matches the Rfam family "Bacterial small subunit ribosomal RNA", at positions 525 to 775 of the family's 1533-position model. The record is from RNAcentral.
ACGAAGGGGGCUAGCGUUGCUCGGAAUCACUGGGCGUAAAGCGCACGUAGGCGGAUUCUUAAGUCAGAGGUGAAAGCCUGGAGCUCAACUCCAGAACUGCCUUUGAUACUGGGAGUCUCGAGUUCGGGAGAGGUGAGUGGAACUGCGAGUGUAGAGGUGAAAUUCGUAGAUAUUCGCAAGAACACCAGUGGCGAAGGCGGCUCACUGGCCCGAUACUGACGCUGAGGUGCGAAAGCGUGGGGAGCAAACAG